This 401-nucleotide unclassified non-coding RNA is filed under the name Ureaplasma diversum. RNAcentral's name for it is "partial contains 16S ribosomal RNA, 16S-23S ribosomal RNA intergenic spacer, and 23S ribosomal RNA". The stretch from base 186 to 401 matches the Rfam family "Bacterial large subunit ribosomal RNA", at positions 1 to 210 of the family's 2925-position model. Lineage: Bacteria; Bacillati; Mycoplasmatota; Mycoplasmoidales; Mycoplasmoidaceae. The record is from RNAcentral.
GUCGGAUUCUAUUUAGUUUUGAGAGAUUCAUUCUCUCCCAUAUUAGUUUUUAAUAUGGUGAUCGAUCUUUGAAAACUGAAUAAUAUCAACAAAUCUUUCUAAUCAAUGACGAUUGAAUUUGUCAUUGAAAAGAUACUAUAUUUUUAAUAUAGUUAACAAUCAUAUAACAAAACUUAAAGGAUUUAUAAUAAGUUACUAAGAGCUUAUGGUGAAUGCCUUGGGACAAACAGGCGAUGAAGGACGUGCAAAUCUGCGAUAAGCAACGGGUAGUUGAUAAGAAACGCCAAUCCGUUGAUCUCCGAAUGAGGAAACUCAGUAUAGUAACUCCAUUACUAUACUAUUAUUAAGUGAAUACAUAGCUUAAUAAAGCGAUACUUGGUGAAGUGAAACAUCUCAGUAGC